Myzus persicae (green peach aphid) is the source of this 2894-nucleotide long non-coding RNA. RefSeq lists it as uncharacterized. NCBI's taxonomy places the organism in Eukaryota, Metazoa, Arthropoda, Insecta, Hemiptera, Aphididae. The transcript is spliced from 3 exons. The record is from RefSeq and is a predicted model, not a curated record.
AUUUAGUUACCUAUGUGAGUUUUCUUUUGUAUAACCAUACAAAUUACGUUGGAAUUCUAUUCUACUUUUUUGUUCUCGUUGUUAUUAUCAUCGUUAUUUGCACUGCCAAAUUUUAAUGCUGUAUACAUAGUAUGAAAGUCAAACAAUUGUUAAUCACAUAAAAAGAGUAAAGAAUAUUGUGAGCUACUAUAAGUUCAAUCACGAAUGAAGCUUAGCAAACAAAGUUUAUGUGGAGUGUUCAGUCGUAAAAUAUAAUAUUUGAAGUUUUAUACAACCGAUACGCAUGGUGUUUUUUUCAAACAAGAUAGUGCUCAGAGUGAAGACAAACCAUUUAAAAAGAAACGUUAAUAAAAAAAAUAUAUUGAGUGGUUAUCGGUGUUUUAUGUAUAGAACAAAGCGACGUGCUGUGUCAACAACGAAACAUUAUUGAGAAUCAAUACAUUAUUGUGAGAGUAUACUGAUCGAAGAGACGUCGAAAACGAGUACCUAUAGGUCUUUAUACAUGUACACCAAGUUUUCAGUAGUCUCUUUUGAUUAUUAUGGAAAUUAUUCUGAAAACUGAAGAUGUAUAUUUAACAAGCAUAAUAUGUACUAUACAAUAUUAUAUAUCGUAAAAUUUAUAAUGUCAGUAUUUAUAAAAAUAAUAAUAUUCAAAUGCGUGUAUCAUACACCAAUGCAAAAGUAUAUUUUUGAUAAUGUGAAAUGAGUUUUUUUUACUAACGGUUAAUCUUAGAAAUAAUCUCAUACCGAUUUAAAUAAGUUAUACCAAUUUCUAUACAAAGAUUCAGUUCCCUUUUAAAACUCUAAUACAGCGAUUGCAUACAUUUCGUUUUAGCUCACGAAAAUCGAAUAAAUGUUUGUGUAUAUAUAACAUAACAUCAUUGCUAUAAGUGACAUAAUCAAUAUGAUUAAAAAAAAAUUGGGUAGAUUAUAGCGGAUUCACCAUUGCUAUGAGAUUGAGAUUUUUUUGAUUUUUCGGUAUUAAAAUUUACAACAAAAGACAAUGCUGUUAUGUUCGUAGCCUAUAGUCUCAAAAACAACUCGACCGAUUUUUAAGAAAGUUUCAGAGGUUGUCCUUAGAGAUAUCAGGAAAGUUUAGAGAGCGAUUUGAACGACAUUGGGAAUUAUGCCAAGUGCUGUAAUAUCCAAUCCACCGAGGCGAAUUGGUCAUCUCGGCAAAAUGAGUUUACAAAGCGAGGUACACCAAUACUGAUUUGUCCGUGAACUGACCACUGAGGUACACUAAAACCGAAAUAAACCUAUGUAUCGCCUUAUUCGAUGUUCUAUCAUUUUUUUUCCCAAGCGAAGUCGAGUUAUACAGCUAGUUCAUAUACGUAUAUAUAUAAGUUUAUAAGUGGUGUGCUAUCGCAUUAUUAAUCAUUCGUACAAAUUCAUCACUAUAAUGGCGUUAUUGGUGUUUCUCUAUUAAGUAUAAUAAUUAAAUUAUUUUAUUUCCAAACUUGUUAUCAAUGUAUCAUUAGUUAUUGAACGUUUUCAUUUAGGUACACCGUCGAUUACAGCCUAAACACAAGUGUAAAUGUAUAGUGUAUUAAUUAUUAUUGAUUAGUGUUAUUGAUACAUUUUAAUUUUCUGAAAAAAUCUUUUUUAAUAAUUUACGGGCGGGAUGCUGAAAAUCAUAUUUAAUGCAUGACUAGGUAUGCAAAAUCGCAACACGAUCAAAUACCGUUUAACUAUCGUGAUUUCAUGACGUGCGAUAAGUUGGUCUAUUUAAAUGUGUAGGUCACAGAAUCAUGUGAAGAUCACAAAAUAUCGUUCACUAAGAAUAAAAGUUUUAAUUGAAUCCUAUAUUCUGGGUAAGUGUGCGAAGGUUUUGAUAACAAAUUGUAUUUCAAAUAGCUCAGUCACUGUUUAAUUUAAAUCCAACAACGUUUUAUUUUUACUAGGAAAAUACAUGAAUAAAUUCAUGGUAAUUUCACACUUUGCAGAAUAAAGACUUAAAUAUAUCUCUAAAAAAUGGUCGUAUAGUUAAAGUUUGUUUAGAAUAGCGUCCUUUUUGCAUUCGGAUUCAAAUCGAAUUUACUUUUCUCUGUACAUAGAGCAAGCACUUAUAUUAAUCAUGAUGAUAAUAUUACAUUAUUUCACUGCAUGGUAUAGUAAAUGAUAAUAUAAAAAUGUAGAUAUUAAUAUUUUUUUUCAUUAAAAUAAAGGCGAGCUACAUGUAAACAAUUUUAGAACUUCUGGCAACUAUUUACUAGGAAUAUACUAUUAAUAGUUACUAUUAUAGUAUAUAAUGUUAAAGUAUAAUCAGGCUAGUAAUAAAAUAUUUAGAUUUUCGUAAAACUGAUUUUUUUUUUUGUAAAAACGCCAUUUUAUGGCUGUUGAAUAACCACGACGUUAAUUUGGUACGCGGAUAGUUCUUUGUGGAUGUCACGAGUACAAUUCUAAGAAUAUAAUGGUUUCGUUACAAUGAACAUCAGAAUCCCAAUAACAAUUAUUUCUCAUUUUUGGGCUUUAUUGUGUAGUCGACAUCCGGAAUAUAAACCCUGGAUAAUGAAUAAUAUGAUGGUGGUAUGGAUGUAUGAUACAUUUCGUGAUUGAAAAGAUGUAGAUAUUUCAUUAAUGUUCUAUGAAAAUGGAAAGAAAAUCAAUAUGGCUCAGCGGAAUCAAAAUAAGAAUGACUACAUGAAUGUUUGCAUAAUAUAUUUGUUUACACAAUAAACGGCAAUACCACACGGGCAGGUAUCUAAGUUUAUUAAAAAUGAGCCAGCUAUAAUAAUACGCCAGAUUGGGUACUGCUCACGCAGCAUCUAUGGAUACUUGAAAUAUAUCUAUUUAGGUACGAAGAUUAUGUCAUACAAUAGUAGAACUAAGGUAGUAAAUAUAAAUAAUUGUAAGCGUUUUUUUUUUUUUUUAAACGUCAUUUUUGUGUAAUG